This 504-nucleotide ribosomal RNA is filed under the name uncultured bacterium. RNAcentral's name for it is "bacterial SSU rRNA". It matches the Rfam family "Bacterial small subunit ribosomal RNA", at positions 29 to 523 of the family's 1533-position model. The record is from RNAcentral.
AGUGAACGCUGGCGGCAGGCCUAAUACAUGCAAGUCGAACGGCAGCACAGUGGAGCUUGCUCCAUGGGUGGCGAGUGGCGGACGGGUGAGGAAUACAUGGGAAUCUGCCCAGUCGUGGGGGAUAACGUAUGGAAACGUACGCUAAUACCGCAUGCGCCCUUCGGGGGAAAGUCGGGGACCGCAAGGCCUGACGCGAUUGGAUGAGCCCAUGUUCGAUUAGCUAGUUGGCGGGUAACGGCCCACCAAGGCGACGAUCGAUAGCUGGUCUGAGAGGAUGAUCAGCCACACUGGAACUGAGACACGGUCCAGACUCCUACGGGAGGCAGCAGUAGGGAAUAUUGGACAAUGGGGGCAACCCUGAUCCAGCCAUGCCGCGUGAGUGAAGAAGGCCCUCGGGUUGUAAAGCUCUUUGUUGGGGAAGAAAAGCAGUUGGUUAAUACCCGAUUGUUCUGACGGUACCCAAAGAAUAAGCACCGGCUAACUUCGUGCCAGCAGCCGCGGUAA